RNAcentral lists this ribosomal RNA (320 nucleotides) under uncultured eukaryote. RNAcentral's name for it is "partial 18S ribosomal RNA". It matches the Rfam family "Eukaryotic small subunit ribosomal RNA", at positions 1470 to 1796 of the family's 1831-position model. The record is from RNAcentral.
CCCCUAGAUGUUCUGGGCCGCACGCGCGCUACAUUGAACAGUUCAACAAGUCUUAACCUUGGCCGAUAGGUCUGGGUAAUCUUUGAACGCUGUUCGUGAUUGGGAUAGACCUUUGCAAUUAUGGGUCUUCAACGAGGAAUUCCUAGUAAACGCAAGUCAUCAGCUUGCAUUGAUUACGUCCCUGCCCUUUGUACACACCGCCCGUCGCACCUACCGAUUGAAUGGUCCGGUGAAAUCUCGGGACGGCGGCUUGGUCGCUUGCGUCCGACUGCUGAAACUUGAUUAAACCAUAUCAUUUAGAGGAAGGUGAAGUCGUAACA